Molecule: ribosomal RNA, 670 nt
Filed under: uncultured bacterium
Lineage: Bacteria
Description: bacterial SSU rRNA
Rfam family: Bacterial small subunit ribosomal RNA
Source: RNAcentral
GAGUUUGAUCCUGGCUCAGGAUGAACGCUGGCGGCGUGCUUAACACAUGCAAGUCGAGCGAUGAAGUUUCCUUCGGGAAACGGAUUAGCGGCGGACGGGUGAGUAACACGUGGGUAACCUGCCUCAUAGAGUGGAAUAGCCUUCCGAAAGGAAGAUUAAUACCGCAUAAUGUUGAAAGAUGGCAUCAUCAUUCAACCAAAGGAGCAAUCCGCUAUGAGAUGGACCCGCGGCGCAUUAGCUAGUUGGUGGGGUAACGGCCUACCAAGGCGACGAUGCGUAGCCGACCUGAGAGGGUGAUCGACCACAUUGGGACUGAGACACGGCCCAGACUCCUACGGGAGGCAGCAGUGGGGAAUAUUGCACAAUGGGGGAAACCCUGAUGCAGCAACGCCGCGUGAGUGAUGAAGGUUUUCGGAUCGUAAAGCUCUGUCUUUGGGGAAGAUAAUGACGGUACCCAAGGAGGAAGCCACGGCUAACUACGUGCCAGCAGCCGCGGUAAUACGUAGGUGGCGAGCGUUAUCCGGAUUUACUGGGCGUAAAGGGAGCGUAGGCGGAUGAUUAAGUGGGAUGUGAAAUACCCGGGCUCAACUUGGGUGCUGCAUUCCAAACUGGCUAUCUAGAGUGCAGGAGAGGAGAGUGGAAUUCCUAGUGUAGCGGUGAAAUGCGUAGA